AUCUCAGUUCGGAUUGUAGUCUGNAACCCGACUACAUGAAGCUGGAAUCGCUAGUAAUCGCAGAUCAGAAUGCUGCGGUGAAUACGUUCCCGGGUCUUGUACACACCGCCCGUCACACCAUGGGAGUCGGAAAUGCCCGAAGUCGGUGACCGAACCGAAAGGAAGGAGCCCGCCGAAGGCAGGUCUGGUGACUGGGGUGAAGUCGUAACAAGGUAAC
Molecule: ribosomal RNA, 217 nt
Filed under: uncultured bacterium
Lineage: Bacteria
Description: partial 16S ribosomal RNA
Rfam family: Bacterial small subunit ribosomal RNA
Source: RNAcentral